Molecule: ribosomal RNA, 1282 nt
Filed under: metagenome
Description: bacterial LSU rRNA
Rfam family: Bacterial large subunit ribosomal RNA
Source: RNAcentral
UCGUGUAGCAAGGGCCCGUACCGUAAACCGACACAGGUGGAUGAGGAGAGGAUCCUAAGGCCGGCGGGAGAAGUGUUGUUAAGGAACUCGGCAAAAUGACUCCGUAACUUCGGGAGAAGGAGUGCUGCGCAAGCAGCCGCAGAGAAAUGGCCCAAGCAACUGUUUAGCAAAAACACAGGUCUAUGCGAAACCGAAAGGUGAGGUAUAUGGGCUGACGCCUGCCCGGUGCUGGAAGGUUAAGGGGAGAGCUUAGCGCAAGCGAAGGUUUGAACUUAAGCCCCAGUAAACGGCGGCCGUAACCAUAACGGUCCUAAGGUAGCGAAAUUCCUUGUCGGGUAAGUUCCGACCCGCACGAAAGGCGUAAUGAUUUGGGCACUGUCUCAACAACACACCCGGUGAAAUUGAAAUACCAGUGAAGAUGCUGGUUACCCGCGCCAGGACGGAAAGACCCCAUGGAGCUUUACUCCAGCCUGAUACUGGGAUUCGGUAUUGCAUGUACAGGAUAGGUGGGAGGCUAAGAACUUAUGGCGCCAGCCGUGAGGGAGCCGAUGUUGGGAUACCACCCCUGCAGUACUGGGUUUCUAACCUGCGCCCGUGACCCGGGCGGGGGACAAUGUCAGGCGGGGAGUUUGACUGGGGCGGUCGCCUCCGAAAGGGUAUCGGAGGCGCUCAAAGGUCUCCUCAGGAUGGUUGGAAACCAUCCAGAGAGUGCAAAGGCAGAAGGAGGCUUGACUGCGACACCGACGGGUGGAGCAGGUACGAAAGUAGGACUUAGUGAUCCGGUGGCAUAAAGUGGGAUUGCCAUCGCUCAACGGAUAAAAGCUACCCUGGGAUAACAGGCUUAUCACUCCCAAGAGUUCACAUCGACGGAGUGGUUUGGCACCUCGAUGUCGGCUCAUCGCAUCCUGGAGCUGGAGCAGGUUCCAAGGGUUGGGCUGUUCGCCCAUUAAAGCGGUACGCGAGCUGGGUUCAGAACGUCGUGAGACAGUUCGGUCCCUAUCCGGCGCGGGCGCAGGAUAUCUGAGAGGAGCUGUCCUUAGUACGAGAGGACCGGGAUGGACCGUCCGCUGGUGGACCGGUUGUCAUGCCGAUGGCACGGCCGGGUAGCCAAGACGGGAAGGGAUAAACGCUGAAGGCAUCUAAGCGUGAAGCCCCCCUCAAGAUGAGAUAUCCAUACUCGAAAGAGUGAGAGACCCCUUAGAGACGAUGAGGUAGAUAGGGCAGAGAUGGAAGCACAGCGAUGUGUGGAGUUGACUGUUACUAAUCGGUCGAUAGCUUGACC